Molecule: transfer RNA, 72 nt
Filed under: Marmota marmota marmota (Alpine marmot)
Lineage: Eukaryota; Metazoa; Chordata; Mammalia; Rodentia; Sciuridae
Also listed under: 1 other name
Rfam family: tRNA
About the family: Transfer RNA (tRNA) molecules are approximately 80 nucleotides in length. Their secondary structure includes four short double-helical elements and three loops (D, anti-codon, and T loops).
Source: Rfam by way of RNAcentral
AGAGGUGUGGCUCAGUGGAAGAGCACUUGCCUAGCAUGUGCAAGGCCCUGGGUUCCAAUCCCAGCACUACAA